Long non-coding RNA from Leptidea sinapis, 562 nucleotides. RefSeq lists it as uncharacterized. The record is from RefSeq and is a predicted model, not a curated record. The transcript has 2 exons. Lineage: Eukaryota; Metazoa; Arthropoda; Insecta; Lepidoptera; Pieridae.
CUUCUGAUUUCAUUGAUGCAAAAGGAACAUCUACAAUGUCCUGUACUUAAGCAACCUCACAAUUUUCUGUGUGAACACAUCAUUUACUGCCAGCUGAAGGUCAUGAACAAUGCAUGCACAUUUGAUGGUACCUACGCACUUGUGAAGGUGGAAUCACGAUGUGAUGAAAUUGCAUGCAAACCAACCAAUCCAAAUAGCUACACAGCAUUAAACUUGUAACAAAACAAUGUUAUAGUUACCAGAAGUAAGGCAUGCCAACUAACGUGUUGAAUUUAACUCCUGUUCUCCUUUAAAAUCGUGUACAAAGAAGCAUUGAUGAUUGAAGAUUAUCGUAAUUGGCAUUCACGAAGAAAAUGGCGUCACAUCACACUAGUCACGGAACAAGGUACGAUUUCGUCAUAAGAAAACACAUUUCACAAUCACAAUAAAACAUCACAAGAUUUAAAACAUGCGAAAUAAGUCAAUUUUUUGGAAAAUUACUCACUUUGAAUAUGAAUUCCAAAGAAAAUCAUCCAAAAACUUAAAGAUUGAUGACAAGGCACUCCACUCUCCGUUUGCAAAA